Molecule: long non-coding RNA, 3400 nt
Filed under: Homo sapiens (human)
Lineage: Eukaryota; Metazoa; Chordata; Mammalia; Primates; Hominidae
Description: long non-coding RNA NONHSAT044015.2
Source: RNAcentral
GCUUAAUGGAAGAUUCUGAGAUUUUUUUUUCUCUCUGAUAAAAGGCUAAGAACUGCUCUUACUAUCCUGCUUGGGAUGUUAUGAGGGUAUAACAUCUGAGCUGUGGCAGCCAUCUUGUGACUAUGAGGUAAUAGACACAGCAAAGCAAAGCUGAAGAUGAUGGAACAGAAACACAAACAGGAUCUGGUGCCUGUAAACAAUGAACCAUUGAAUGAACCCUUGAACCUCCUAUCUCCACUAUUAUUAAGCUAAAAUGUAGCUUCAUCAUCUUGUCCCUGCUGACGACCUGGAUCAAACAGUAGAUUUGGGUCUAAAGUGUUCAAAUCAUUGAUGCUGCCUGAGAGCUCAGAAGACAACCUGAUAUCGCUAGAGAAAUCAGAUGCAGUAUUAGUGAGAUCAGAUGCUCCCUGACCUACCAGCUGCUGGUUGGUUUGCAAGCUGUCUCCACUCAACAGGUCUUUAACAGUGCUAUUGAAAUCUAAUUGUUGCUCUCCAAUUUCUGAUUGUGCUUGAUUAUCUCCAGGAGAAAAAUUGAUCUGACCGGUGCUAUUACUUUUGGUGAGGUAAGAUGGUGUUUGGAACUCAUAAACAGAAGUGCUGGAAUCGAUCAUAUUUUGUGGGUUGGCACUAGGAAAAACAGUGGAAGGUUCCAAAAUCUGAGUGAGAUUCAUCCGGGCUGUAUAAUUAGAGGGCAGGUUGUUCAUUCCCAAACCUCUCACUGCAUCAUCAUUGUCGGAAUCAAGUUUACUCAACAAAACAUUGGUUAUUUUUUUACUGUUUGCUUGCUUCUGAAGAGCGUUUGGGAAGGCUGUCUGCAUCAUGACUGUCAAUGGAACUGAUUGGCUUCUUUGAGCUAUGUUGUUGGCACAUGCGUCUGUGUGAACAUUUGUGAAAACAUGAACUUCUGGGGUAACUGGACUUCCAAAGGGGGUCACAUUAGAUCGUGGGAUAUUAGAUACUGGAUAGAGGGUGCUUCCACUAAGAUUACGUUGGCGAUGAACAGCAGGGCUCACACUCCGGCAUCUGAAGUUGCUGCUGGCAGAUGAAUUAGUUCCUUUAUUAUCAAGAGGGGCAGGGACUGCAAAACCCUCCUGUUUGUUGGUGUUAUUUACAGUGGCACCUUGAUGCUGCACAGGAGAGACAGGAGUCAAACGACCAAAAUGAGUGUCAUGAUGUCUGGAUUGAGACUGAUAAGACUGUCCAGGCACAGCAAAAGCAUGAGGUUUCCUGAAACGGUCUUCCACUAGUUCCUGAUAGCUUGGGAGAAUACCAUGGCCAGAAACUGAUGAAUUACCAACCCCACUAUACCCAUUAUUCAUCCAUUCAAGCUUGGUUUUGUCAGGGUGUGUGGCCAUGGGUCUUUGCAUCGGUUUCACAGGACUACUUGAGACAAUGCUGGCGUCAUGAUAUGCCAUACUGGAGCUUAUUGGAGUGAAUGCAAACGGAUUCCUGCAUUCAACAGGGCUGGGGGGGACACUACUGCUGCAGUUAGAAUGUGGAGUACCAAUGGGUGUAUGUCGGCUACUUCCUAAAGCACUAUCCACAGGUGUAGUCUGGGCUAGCCUGGAGCAAGGGCUCUCCCGUGACAGACUCUGAGAUCCAGCAAUCAUUUCAGAUGUCGGGGUUGGGGUUGGGGUUGGAGUAGGAGUGGGUGUGGGUGUGGGUGUGGGUGUGUGGAUUGGAGUGCCAUUGCUGUGGAUUGGAUGAUAGAAGUGGGUGCUGGAAGUGUGAGAUGACAUUGGAGCUCCUGGAGUUACUGACUGACUCUGAAGGGUCAUUCCCAAACAGUUGCCGUAAGAAUGAGAAUUGUUCAUUGACAUUUGCUGCUCCAUAAGCACCAGCUCUUCCACAAUACUAUCUUGUGUAAGUUCAUCAUCAAAAGGAAAGUAGCUUUCAUUUGUCUGGGAAACAGAAGGCUCAAACUCCUUCAGUUCAGAUUGCAGAGGUAACUGAUCUGAAGAAUGUGCUUGUAUUUGAUUUAAAGAAGAUUCCUGUAUCUGGCUAUGUAGCUGCUGGCUAUAUGUGUCCUGUGGCAUUCCUUCUAAUUCCCAAACAGAUUUCUCUAAGUCAUUGAUAUCAGAGUGCUCAGGAAUUGUCAUAACACUGAUAUCUUGCUGUUGUUCACAACUGGCAGAUAUAAACUCAGAAUCUUUAGUGAUUUGUUGCCAUCCAUUUGGAUUAAAGCUGCCAACUGACUUUGAAUCACUGUCCAAGAGAAAGACACUUCCUUCAAGUUUUACUUUUAUAUCUGGAGAUGAUGAUGGGGUUGUUUGCUGUUCCAAAGCUGAAUCACUGAUAACAAGGGCAGAGGAAUUCAAGGGUUGAUUUGCUCCUAUGUGUGAACUGACAUUUACUGAUACCUUGCUAGGAAUCUGAGCACCUGCUGUUGAACCUUCUGUUUUCCCUGAAUGUGGAACCUUUUGGUCCUUCUUAACACUGCCUUGUUUCUGCCCUUCUAUGGUAGCUGCUGAAAGCUGUUCCACAAUUGGUUUCUUUACAGGAGGCACCUGGGUCUCCUGCAAUGUAGAAGACAGUCGUUUUCUUGGGCUUUUAGUGCAUAAUUUAGGGUCUUUAUUGAUUGAGUCACCAUUAGGUGGUGAGCUGCUGCUGGUGAAAGUUAAGUUCUGAGAAGCAACUGAUAGAGUGAUAGUGCUUUGAUUAUUGCCUGUUGACGUGCCUGGCAGCAUUUCAUUACAGCGACUUUUACAUUUGGUCCUCUGGUCACAGACCUUAGUUGCUUUUAUUUCAAUGACACCUUCAUUUGAAGGUUUCUGCAGUGCUCCGUCUGUAUUACUUUUCUGCCCCAAAAGGGCACUAGGUGUCUGGGGAGCUUUAGCCUCAUCAGAGUUCUCUUGGCACUGUACAGGAUGCUCAUCUGAUGAUGUUUCGGGUUCCACUUUGACUUCCACAGCAGAUGUUCCCCCCGCACUGCUGCUCCUGGACCCAGGAGACUGAAGCGACACGACAGAACCAUUCUUGAUCUGUGGAACACUCCUUGAUUCUUCUGUUGUUCCUGUAGCACUGCUGACUGAGGCAGAAUGUUUAAGAGGGGUGUUACUGUUGCUGGGUGUGAGGGAUAUUGUUGUCAUUUUCACCACAUUUAGAGAACUCAUGUGUGAAGCGGGUACAACAGCAGUUUUGAUGGGACUACUAGUAAAGAGGACAGUAGUUGGAGAGCGAAUGGUGAGUGCACUGGUGUUCGCUGGUUUGGGUAAGAUCUGAGGGUAACGGUGCCGGGCAGAACGAUCCCCACCAGGACUGGCUGGAACGUUCUGGGGAGUCUUUGGUGCCUGUUUCACAGACUGCAUGUGCUGAGUGACCACCUGUACAUUGAGGGGAAGAACUUUGCCGUCAGAAGAACUCAUUGGACUCGGUGAAGUUACCAAUUGCCUAGUCCGCU